UCCAAGUUUUGGAUUAAUCUGGGGAGAGU
Molecule: non-coding RNA, 29 nt
Filed under: Rattus norvegicus (Norway rat)
Lineage: Eukaryota; Metazoa; Chordata; Mammalia; Rodentia; Muridae
Source: RNAcentral